This is a non-coding RNA of Arabidopsis thaliana x Arabidopsis arenosa, 205 nucleotides long. The record is from the annotation of a GenBank genome assembly. NCBI's taxonomy places the organism in Eukaryota, Viridiplantae, Streptophyta, Magnoliopsida, Brassicales, Brassicaceae.
UGGAUGAAGACAGAGCAGUGGAGUUCGACACUAGCAUGUAUCACUUUGGUGAAUAUGUGCCUCCAGCAAGGGAGAGCAAGAGCUUGAGUGAAGCUCAUAGGAACAACAGUAAACUACAGAAGUGGUGCUAGAAGCAGGACAAGCUGCUCGCCAAGUGUUUCUGACAGAUAAGCUGAGUUGUUCCUCCUCCACUACUGCUAUUCCA